Molecule: ribosomal RNA, 891 nt
Filed under: Pseudomonas sp. HR-7
Lineage: Bacteria; Pseudomonadati; Pseudomonadota; Gammaproteobacteria; Pseudomonadales; Pseudomonadaceae
Description: bacterial SSU rRNA
Rfam family: Bacterial small subunit ribosomal RNA
Source: RNAcentral
CGGCUACCUGCUUGUCGAGCGGAUGAUGGGAGCUUGCUCCCGGAUUCAGCGGCGGACGGGUGAGUAAUGCCUAGGAAUCUGCCUGGUAGUGGGGGACAACGUUUCGAAAGGAACGCUAAUACCGCAUACGUCCUACGGGAGAAAGCAGGGGACCUUCGGGCCUUGCGCUAUCAGAUGAGCCAGGAUCAAACUCUCUAGUUGGUGGGGUAAAGGCCUACCAAGGCGACGAUCCGUAACUGGUCUGAGAGGAUGAUCAGUCACACUGGAACUGAGACACGGUCCAGACUCCUACGGGAGGCAGCAGUGGGGAAUAUUGGACAAUGGGCGAAAGCCUGAUCCAGCCAUGCCGCGUGUGUGAAGAAGGUCUUCGGAUUGUAAAGCACUUUAAGUUGGGAGGAAGGGCAGUAAGUUAAUACCUUGCUGUUUUGACGUUACCAACAGAAUAAGCACCGGCUAACUUCGUGCCAGCAGCCGCGGUAAUACGAAGGGUGCAAGCGUUAAUCGGAAUUACUGGGCGUAAAGCGCGCGUAGGUGGUUUGGUAAGAUGGAUGUGAAAUCCCCGGGCUCAACCUGGGAACUGCAUCCAUAACUGCCUGACUAGAGUACGGUAUAGGGUGGUGGAAUUUUCCUGUGUAUCGGUGAAAUGCGUAUAUAUUUGAAGGACCACCAUGGGGCGAAGGCGACCACCUGGACUGAUACCGACACUGAAGUGCCAAAGCGUGGGUAGCAAACAUGAUAACAUACCCUGGUAGUCCACUCCUUACACAAUAUUGACUACCCACCGGGACAUAGAUAAUAUUAAGGUCUCCCAUAUCCCAAAAAUCCAACACCCUGAGUAGUACGGCUCAACGCGUCUUUACUAAUUUUUUUAAAGAGCGCUCGCACCCCCUU